CUAAUGUGAUUACCCCAAGAUGUCACUCUCCCGGGCUCUGUCCUAGUCACACGGAGAAACACUGGGCCAUGUCUCUGGUGUACAACCCUUUCCAUGGUGUCGAGAUGAAGCUGGGCUUCAAGUCUGUGCCUGCACAUUCCUACGUCUUUGCAGAGCCUUGUGGGCAAUGACUGAAGAGACAGAUUUGGAGUGGAGGGGUGUUUU
RNAcentral lists this small nucleolar RNA (204 nucleotides) under Microtus ochrogaster (prairie vole). RNAcentral describes it as "Small nucleolar RNA SNORA73 family (ENSMOCG00000004132.1)". Lineage: Eukaryota; Metazoa; Chordata; Mammalia; Rodentia; Cricetidae. The record is from RNAcentral.